UACGGGGGGGGCAAGCGUUGUUCGGAAUUACUGGGCGUAAAGGGCUCGUAGGCGGCCAACUAAGUCGGAUGUGAAAUCCCCAGGCUUAACCUGGGAACUGCAUCCGAUACUGGAUGGCUUGAAUCCGGGAGAGGGAUGCAGAAUUCCAGGUGUAGCGGUGAAAUGCGUAGAUAUCUGGAGGAAUACCGGUGGCGAAGGCGGCAUCCUGGACCGGCAUUGACGCUGAUGAGCGAAAGCUAGGGGAGCAAACAGG
RNAcentral lists this ribosomal RNA (253 nucleotides) under uncultured bacterium. Its description in RNAcentral is "partial 16S ribosomal RNA". It matches the Rfam family "Bacterial small subunit ribosomal RNA", at positions 524 to 776 of the family's 1533-position model. The record is from RNAcentral.